Molecule: ribosomal RNA, 253 nt
Filed under: uncultured bacterium
Lineage: Bacteria
Description: partial 16S ribosomal RNA
Rfam family: Bacterial small subunit ribosomal RNA
Source: RNAcentral
UACGAAGGGGGCUAGCGUUGCUCGGAAUUACUAGGCGUAAAGCGCACGUAGGCGGAUUUGUAAGUCAGGGGUGAAAUCCCGAGGCUCAACCUCGGAACUGCCUUUGAUACUGCAAAUCUCGAGUCCGGAAGAGGUGAGUGGAAUUCCUAGUGUAGAGGUGAAAUUCGUAGAUAUUAGGAAGAACACCAGUGGCGAAGGCGGCUCACUGGUCCGGUACUGACGCUGAGGUGCGAAAGCGUGGGGAGCAAACAGG